Molecule: non-coding RNA, 276 nt
Filed under: Proboscia alata
Lineage: Eukaryota; Bacillariophyta; Melosirophyceae; Probosciales; Probosciaceae
Source: RNAcentral
UGCUUCCUUUCUUUACUAACGCUUUCGAUUACAAAUGAAGUGAUCAAAUACAGGAGUGACGGAGAUAUAUCCAUGCUAUUCCCUCCAUUUGGUGCGUUAGUGACGUGUCAUUAUGGGUUGACAAGCGCCCCUGCGUCACAACCCCGGAACUCAUUUGUAGGUAUUCUAAUCACUUCUACUAUGGCUACAAUUAGUGCAUAUAUUCCUGUCUCAAUUUUACCUCUAUGGGUGCGAAUUCCGGUGGUAACUUCGAUUGCAAUUGCGACUACUCUUGCU